This 253-nucleotide ribosomal RNA is filed under the name uncultured bacterium. RNAcentral describes it as "partial 16S ribosomal RNA". It matches the Rfam family "Bacterial small subunit ribosomal RNA", at positions 524 to 776 of the family's 1533-position model. The record is from RNAcentral.
UACGUAGGUGACCAGCGUUGUCCGGAUUUACUGGGCGUAAAGAGCGCGCAGGCGGUCGUUCAAGUCGAGUGUGAAAGCCCCCGGCUCAACUGGAGAGGGUCAUUCGAUACUGAUCGACUCGAAGGCAGGAGAGGGAAGCGGAAUUCCCGGUGUAGUGGUGAAAUGCGUAGAUAUGCGGAGGAACACCGAUGGCGAAGGCAAUCCCCUGGGCCUGCACUGACGCUCAUGCACGAAAGCGUGGGGAGCAAACAGG